UCGUCAAAUAUAUUGCAUUAAAACAAGGCAUAGUUAGGCAUCUCCUAAAGCUCUGCGCCAAAUCACGAUCUUAAUCCCGAGUCGACUCAGUUAACAAAGAUGGCAACCCGAACAGCUCCACCAAGAGGAAGUGCGGCGGUGGCAGCCAGCCUGCGCAGGAGGAGAACAUCAAGCCGUGUGGGUGCCUGAGGCGGGACUGUGGGGACUAUGCUUCAGUUUUACACAGAUGAUGCUCCCGGACUCGAGAUCUCCCCAAAUUCGGUGCUUGUCAUGAGCAUUGGUUUCAUAGCUUUUGUUGCGAUUCCCCAUGUUAUGGGCAAGUUGUAUUUUGUCGCUAAGGAUUAGGAAGCCUUUUAAAGUUUGUAUCAACGUUAGCAAACAGUUUUCACAGUUGUGCUUUGCAGUUUUCCUUGUUACUGGAUUUGAUUUACUUU
Molecule: long non-coding RNA, 434 nt
Organism: Hibiscus syriacus
Lineage: Eukaryota; Viridiplantae; Streptophyta; Magnoliopsida; Malvales; Malvaceae
Exons: 4
Source: RefSeq, a predicted model, not a curated record